RNAcentral lists this ribosomal RNA (494 nucleotides) under uncultured bacterium. Its description in RNAcentral is "partial 16S ribosomal RNA". It matches the Rfam family "Bacterial small subunit ribosomal RNA", at positions 28 to 507 of the family's 1533-position model. The record is from RNAcentral.
GACGAACGCUGGCGGCGUGCUUAACACAUGCAAGUCGAACGGUGAAGCGCCUUCCUUUUUGGUGUGUGUGUAUGAGUGGCGAACGGGUGAAUAACACGUGAGUAACCUUCCCCCUUCUUCUUGAUAACCGCAUGAAAGUGUGGCUAAUACGGGAUAUUCUGGGUCUGUCGCAUGAUUGGUCUGGGACAGAUUUUGUUUCGGUUGUGGAUGGGCUCGCGCCCUAUCAGCUUGUUGGUGGGGUGAUGGCCUACCAAGGCGGUGAGGAGUAGCCGGCCUGAGAGGGUGGACGGUCACAGAGGGACGAAGACACGGAGCAGACUCCGAGAGGAGGCAGCAGGGGAGAAUAUGGCACAAGGGGCGGAAGGAUGAAGCAGCGACGCGGCGGGGGGGAUGGAGGCCGUCGGGUUGUGAACCGCUUUCGGGGGUGAAGCAGGCCGGCCUCGUUUGUGGGUGGGUUGACGGUAGCUGGACAAGAAGCGACGGCUAACUACGUG